Molecule: ribosomal RNA, 408 nt
Filed under: uncultured bacterium
Lineage: Bacteria
Description: partial 16S ribosomal RNA
Rfam family: Bacterial small subunit ribosomal RNA
Source: RNAcentral
GACGAACGCUGGCGGCGUGCUUAACACAUGCAAGUCGAACGAAGUGGCGAACGGGUGAGUAACGCGUAAUCAACCUGCCCUUCAGAGGGGGACAACCGUUGGAAACGACUGCUACUCCCUCAUACUGAAGGAGGGGAUUGAGUCUGAUGAGCUAGUUGGAGGGGUAACGGCCCAACAAGGCGAUGAUAAGUAGCCGGUCUGAGAGGAUGAACGGCCACAGUGGGAAUGAGACACGGCCCAGAAUCCUACGGGAGGCAGCAGGGGGGAAUCAUCCGAAAUGGAGGAAAGUCUGAAGGAGCAACGCCGCGGGAGUGAUGACGGCCUUCGGGUUGUAAAGCUCUGUUAAUCGGGACGCGGUACCGGAAUAGAAAGCCACGGCUAACUACGUGCCAGCAGCCGCGGUAAUAC